Molecule: long non-coding RNA, 73 nt
Filed under: Pongo abelii (Sumatran orangutan)
Lineage: Eukaryota; Metazoa; Chordata; Mammalia; Primates; Hominidae
Rfam family: ST7 overlapping transcript 3 conserved region 4
Source: RNAcentral
GGGUACUUCUACCAGUUGGAGCUGGGCUGUUGGAGACAUCUCCACUGCCUACCACCAGGACGAGCAGAGUGGU